Molecule: ribosomal RNA, 271 nt
Filed under: uncultured bacterium
Lineage: Bacteria
Description: partial 16S ribosomal RNA
Rfam family: Bacterial small subunit ribosomal RNA
Source: RNAcentral
UACGUAGGGUGCAAGCGUUAAUCGGAAUUACUGGGCGUAAAGCGUGCGCAGGCGGUUUUGUAAGACAGGCGUGAAAUCCCCGGGCUCAACCCGGGAACGGCUUCCGAGACUGGUCGGCUUGAAUCCAGGAGAGGGUGGUGGAAUUCCGAGUGUAGAGGUGAAAUUCGUAGAUAUUCGGAAGAACACCGGUGGCGAAGGCGACCACCUGGCCUGGUAUUGACGCUCAUGUGCGAAAGCGUGGGGAGCAAACAGGAUUAGAAACCCCAGUAGU